GUGAGUCAUCGAAUCUUUGAACGCACAUUGCGCCUCCCGUAACAAGGAGGCAUGCCUGUCUGAGCGUCAUUUAAACCAAUAAGCCCAAAGGGGUUUGUUUUGGGCCUCGACGCAGUCGUCGUCGCCUUAAAGGCAUCGGUCUAGAGCGGACAAGAUCCAUUAGGACUGACCGUCGCGGACCCCGAUCAUCUGACUUGACCUCAGAUCAGGUAGGACUACCGCCUGAACUUAAGCAUAUCAAUAAGCGGAGGA
RNAcentral lists this unclassified non-coding RNA (252 nucleotides) under fungal sp. Its description in RNAcentral is "partial contains 5.8S ribosomal RNA, internal transcribed spacer 2, and large subunit ribosomal RNA". The stretch from base 1 to 69 matches the Rfam family "5.8S ribosomal RNA", at positions 84 to 154 of the family's 154-position model. The record is from RNAcentral. Lineage: Eukaryota; Fungi.